GCCAGACUCCUACGGGAGGCAGCAGUGAGGAAUAUUGGUCAAUGGGCGGAAGCCUGAACCAGCCAAGCCGCGUGAGGGAUGAAGGUACAGAGUAUCGUAAACCUCUUUUGUCAGGGAACAAAGGCGGGGACGCGUCCCCGGAUGAGUGUACCUGAAGAAAAAGCAUCGGCUAACUCCGUGCCAGCAGCCGCGGUAAUACGGAGGAUGCGAGCGUUAUCCGGUUUUAUUGGGUUUAAAGGGUGCGCAGGCGGGCUGUUAGGACGGGGGGCAAUGCCGGGGCCUCAACCCCGGUCCGCCGUUGAAACUGGCAGUCUCGAGUUGGAGAGAAGUAUGCGGAAUGCGCGGUGUAGCGGUGAAAUGCAUAGAUAUCGCGCAGAACUCCGAUUGCGAAGGCAGCAUGCCGGCUCCACACUGACGCUGAGGCACGAAAGCGUGGGUAUCGAACAGGAUUAGAU
This 455-nucleotide ribosomal RNA is filed under the name uncultured bacterium. RNAcentral describes it as "bacterial SSU rRNA". It matches the Rfam family "Bacterial small subunit ribosomal RNA", at positions 330 to 783 of the family's 1533-position model. The record is from RNAcentral.